Molecule: non-coding RNA, 1625 nt
Organism: Trichomonas vaginalis G3
Lineage: Eukaryota; Parabasalia; Trichomonadida; Trichomonadidae
Source: Rfam
GUAGUCUGCCAUACGCAGGAAGACCCGCUGAACUGAAGCAUCUCAUUAAGCGGAGGAAAAGAAACUAACUAGGAUUCCCUUAGUAAAGGCGAUCGAAAAGGGAACAGCCCAACGUCUUAAUCCCGCAAGGGAAAUGUAGUCGGUUCACCUAUUGCACUGGUCUAAGUCAGAUGGAAUGCUGCGCGAUUCAGAGUAAAAGCCUCGUAUGACCAACCGCAAGCUUACGAUGGACCGGGGAGAGUCGGAUACUUUGAGAGUAGUGUCUUAAGGGGGUGGUAUGUCCCAUCCAAGGCUAAAUAACGUGAGGAGACCGAUAGAUUACAAGUAGUGUGAACGAAAGAUGAAAAGAACUCUAAAACAGAGGGUGAAAAGUUCCUGAACUUGCUUAGGGUUAAGGCUAUUUAUAGUACCCGUCUUGAAACACGGAUUAGGGAGUUUAUCUGUAGUGCGAGUCUUUGCACGUUAACUGUAAAGGCGUAGAGAAAGCAACUGGCGUUUGCAUGGCUACUGAGCAUUACUGAUAGGACCCGAAAGGUGGUGAACUUUGCCUGCACAGGUUGAAGUCAGGGGAAACUCUGAUGGAGGACCGUACGGGUUAUUGAUGUGCAAAUCAUUUUUCUGAUGUAGGUAAAGGUGCGAAAGACUCAUCGAACCACCUAAUAGCUGGUUUCCUCCGAAGUUUCCCUCAGGAUAGCUGUAAUGCAUUUAGUUAAGGGGAGUAGAGAUAUGGGUAGAGGUGCAGGGAGCCUUCGGGUUCUCAACUUAUUUCCAAACUUCGAACCUCCUUGUUAGGCAUUUACCUAACUGGAAAUGCUUAAAUGAAUUAGCGUUACAAGUGGGCUCUGACCGGUAAGCGGUCAUGGCGAAAUGGGAUGAACCAUACGUCUGAAUAAGGUGCCGAAAUGUACUAUCACUGAUACCAUAAAGGGAGUCCAUGUAUUUAGACAGCAGGUCGGUGCCCCUAAAAGCAGGUAUCCGCUAAAGAGUGUGUUAAAACUCACCUGCCGAAUACUAGGGCCCCGAAAAUGAAUGGCGCAUAUAGUACUACCGAUCUCAGACAUCAGUUCUAUUGAACUGAGAGUAGGGGGAUGUGGACAUUUUUGUGAAGGUGCAAUGUGAGUUGGACUGGAAGAAUGUCUAUUACAGAUCCUAAUUGAAGUAGCGAUUAUCCAGGCUUGUAUCCUGGGGGCUGAUGAGGAGUAGGGUUUCUGGACAACUUAAACAGAUCCAGAGUUAGUCGAUCCUAAUCUCAAUAAUGGGAGAAAGGGAGUACAGUUGAUAUUCUGUAACUGACAACAGUUCGCGGCAACGCAUACUAUUUUUCUCCGCCAAUCUUAUACCGUUGGUAGGGAUCUCUUUCCUACAUGACAGUACUAAUACCCAGGGAAACUGGUCAUCAGGCGAACUGCGGCGUUCUGCUGGCAAAACAUAGCUUCGGUUAUGUCAAUGGCUAUUGGAUUGGUCCAUGAAGCGAAAAAUAGUUUACUGUGUCACUCGUACCGAUAACCGCAUCAGGUCUUCUAGGUAAGUAGCCUAUGGCCAUUGAGGCAUGAUAGUUCAGGGAAUUCGGCCAAUUAGAGCUGUAACUUCGGGAUAAAGCUUGGCUCUGAUGAAAAUCAGAACCG